Molecule: ribosomal RNA, 445 nt
Filed under: uncultured bacterium
Lineage: Bacteria
Description: partial 16S ribosomal RNA
Rfam family: Bacterial small subunit ribosomal RNA
Source: RNAcentral
GUGAGGAAUAUUGGACAAUGGAUGGAAAUCUGAUCCAGCCAUGCCGCGUGCAGGAAGACGGCCCUAUGGGUUGUAAACUGCUUUUGUAUGGGAGCAAUAAGGGUUACGAGUAGCCUGAUGAGAGUACCAUACGAAUAAGGACCGGCUAACUCCGUGCCAGCAGCCGCGGUAAUACGGAGGGUCCGAGCGUUAUCCGGAUUUAUUGGGUUUAAAGGGUGCGUAGGCGGUUUUAUAAGUCAGCGGUGAAAUUUUCCGGCUCAACCGGGGGACUGCCGUUGAUACUGUAAGGCUAGGAUAUGGUUGCUGUGGGUGGAAUGUGUGGUGUAGCGGUGAAAUGCUUAGAGAUCACACAGAAUAUCGAUUGCGAAGGCAGCUCACAAAGCCAUCAUUGACGCUGAGGCACGAAAGUGUGGGGAUCAAACAGGAUUAGAAACCCGUGUAGUCC